GAAUUAAAGCUGGGGACAUUUUAGCCUGGCGCUUUAGGAGGAGCCUGCGUCCGAUUAGCUUGUUGGUGGGGUAAAAGCCUACCAAGGCGAUGAUCGGUAGCUGGUCUGAGAGGAUGAUCAGCCACACUGGGACUGAGACACGGCCCAGACUCCUACGGGAGGCAGCAGUGGGGAAUAUUGGACAAUGGGCGAAAGCCUGAUCCAGCAAUGCCACGUGUGUGAAGAAGGCCUGCGGGUUGUAAAGCACUUUCAACCACGAGGAAGGAUUAUUUCUUAAUAGGAGAUGAUCUUGACGUUAGUGGUACAAGAAGCACCGGCUAACUCUGUGCCAGCAGCCGCGGUAAUACAGAGGGUGCGAGCGUUAAUCGGAAUUACUGGGCGUAAAGAGCACGUAGGUGGUUAUUUAAGUUAGAUGUGAAAGCCCUGGGCUUAACCUAGGAAUUGCAUUUAAUACUGGGUGACUAGAGUAUAAUAGAGGAAAGUGGAAUUUCCGGUGUAGCGGUGAAAUGCGUAGAUAUCGGAAGGGACACCAGUG
Molecule: ribosomal RNA, 535 nt
Filed under: uncultured bacterium
Lineage: Bacteria
Description: bacterial SSU rRNA
Rfam family: Bacterial small subunit ribosomal RNA
Source: RNAcentral